This 253-nucleotide ribosomal RNA is filed under the name uncultured bacterium. Its description in RNAcentral is "partial 16S ribosomal RNA". It matches the Rfam family "Bacterial small subunit ribosomal RNA", at positions 524 to 776 of the family's 1533-position model. The record is from RNAcentral.
UACGGAGGGCGCGAGCGUUAAUCGGAAUCACUGGGCGUAAAGCGCACGUAGGCGGCCAGAUAAGUCAGAUGUGAAAGCCCCGGGCUUAACCUGGGAAUGGCAUUUGAUACUGUCUGGCUAGAGUAUGGUAGAGGGGGGUGGAAUUCCAGGUGUAGCGGUGAAAUGCGUAGAGAUCUGGAGGAACACCGGUGGCGAAGGCGGCCCCCUGGACCAAUACUGACGCUGAGGUGCGAAAGCGUGGGGAGCAAACAGG